Molecule: ribosomal RNA, 536 nt
Filed under: uncultured bacterium
Lineage: Bacteria
Description: bacterial SSU rRNA
Rfam family: Bacterial small subunit ribosomal RNA
Source: RNAcentral
AAUAGAUACCCAGGUAGUCCACGCCCUAAACGAUGUCGACUGGGUGUUGGGGAAAGCGAGUUCUCUAGUACCGUAGCUAACGCGUGAAGUCGACCGCCUGGGGGAGUACGGCCGCAAGGUUAAAACUCAAAGGAAUUGACGGGGACCCGCACAAGCGGUGGAUGAUGUGGAUUAAUUCGAUGCAACGCGAACAACCUUACCUACCCUUGACAUGUCUGGAAGCCUGCUGAGAGGCGGGUGUGCCCGAAAGGGAACCGGAACACAGGUGCUGCAUGGCUGUCGUCAGCUCGUGUCGUGAGAUGUUGGGUUAAGUCCCGCAACGAGCGCAACCCUUGUCCCUAGUUGCUGCGCAAGGGCACUCUAGGGAGACUGCCGGUGACAAACCAGAGGAAGGUGGGGAUGACGUCAAGUCCUCAUGGCCCUUAUGGGUAGGGCUUCACACGUCAUACAAUGGCCGGUACAGAGGGUUGCCAAGCCGCGAGGCGGAGCCAAUCCCAGAAAGCCGGUCGUAGUCCGGAUUGCAGUCUGCAACUCGA